UCACAUGAUGUUUUUACUUUAAUCACGACGGUCUACGUAGUUUCUACAUUGACGAAGAUUGCCUGUGACAAGGCGCUUUUUCUGAAUGUA
Molecule: small nucleolar RNA, 90 nt
Filed under: Schizosaccharomyces pombe (fission yeast)
Lineage: Eukaryota; Fungi; Ascomycota; Schizosaccharomycetes; Schizosaccharomycetales; Schizosaccharomycetaceae
Description: small nucleolar RNA Z3
Source: RNAcentral